Petromyzon marinus (sea lamprey) is the source of this 391-nucleotide non-coding RNA. Lineage: Eukaryota; Metazoa; Chordata; Hyperoartia; Petromyzontiformes; Petromyzontidae. The record is from RefSeq and is a predicted model, not a curated record.
UCAUUGUGGGAGGGGUGUGGUACGUCGCGCGGCAGUAGACGGUGACAUGACGUCAUAUCACCUCCUGCUGCCGCGUGACGUCACGAGAUAACAGGAAGUUGCUGCUCUGCCCGUGCACUAAAUUCCGAGGCCAAGCCCGCUUGAGCUGCUGUACCGCUUUUUGUUUUCAGAAGCGACCUGCCCACAACACAACACAAGCUGUCGCUUCCUCUGCAGAAUUGGUCUGAUGGAGCAAAGGCACUCGGCGCAGCUCGGUGCAAAAAGGCAUCAAUGCGACCGGUGUGCAUACAGCACGGAUAGUACUGCACAUUUCACGUGGCACCAGAGAACCCACACGGGAGAGAAACCCUUCAAGUGCAAUGUGUGUGGGAAGGCGUUUGCACAGUCACCA